This 254-nucleotide ribosomal RNA is filed under the name uncultured bacterium. Its description in RNAcentral is "partial 16S ribosomal RNA". It matches the Rfam family "Bacterial small subunit ribosomal RNA", at positions 524 to 776 of the family's 1533-position model. The record is from RNAcentral.
UACGUAGGAGGCGAGCGUUGUCCGGAAUCACUGGGUGUAAAGCGCGUGUAGGCGGCCUGCCAAGUCUGCUGUGAAAGCGCCUGGCUUAACCGGGCGAGGUCGGUGGAAACUGGCGGGCUGGAGGACGGUAGAGGGGGGUGGAAUUCCCGGUGUAGUGGUGAAAUGCGUAGAGAUCGGGAGGAACACCAGUGGCGAAGGCGGCCCCCUGGGCCGCUCCUGACGCUGAGACGCGAAGGCGCGGGGGAGCGAACGGG